UGUAACUCAAUUUGUUUUCUGAGCUCAGAAGAGAAUGACACUGUGCUAGAUGGAUUUCAGUUGUCCUUCCAGAUCUGCUCUCCACUUCUCCACACUGGCCAGCACCCUUCAUGUGCUGCUCACAAAGCCGAGAGCCACAGAGGAGCACACGGGAUAUAUUCUGGAAAAGAAGAGGAGGAGGAAGAAGAAUGACUGUAAAGGAAGGAGCAGUACUGUUUUCAUGAGGACCUACUAUGUGCCAGACAUUAUUCUAGGUGCUGGGGCUACCAUGGUUUGCUGGGGAGCACAAGAAGCUGCGAUUUUUGUUCUGCUGAUUUCCAUUAACACCCCCUACCCACCCCACCUUCACCCCUGGCAAAUAGACGCCGCUAAAUGGAGGGAAACUUGCAGCUACUUGGGAGGCUAAGGUGGGAAGAUCGCUUGAGCCCAGGAGGUCGAGGCUGCGGUGAACCAAGAUUGUGACACUGCACUCCAGCCUGGGCAACAGAUGCUGUGUGAAGAUGAAGGCAGAGAUCAGGCUGAUGCUUAUGGAAAGCCAGAGAUUGCCAACAAACCACCAAAAGCUAGGAGAGAGGCCUGGAACAGAUUCUCUCUGAGUCCUCAGAAGGAACCAACCCUGCCAACACUGUGAUCUUGGACUUCUAAACCCCAGAACUGUGAAAUAAUAAAUGUCUGAUGUC
Molecule: long non-coding RNA, 680 nt
Filed under: Homo sapiens (human)
Lineage: Eukaryota; Metazoa; Chordata; Mammalia; Primates; Hominidae
Description: HSALNT0326613
Source: RNAcentral